This is a long non-coding RNA of Oreochromis niloticus (Nile tilapia), 436 nucleotides long. RefSeq lists it as uncharacterized. Lineage: Eukaryota; Metazoa; Chordata; Actinopteri; Cichliformes; Cichlidae. The record is from RefSeq and is a predicted model, not a curated record. The transcript has 3 exons.
CGAGUUAGCUCUGCCAAUCAGUAAUCUACGUGAAUGACGUCAUUUCCUUGUUACCCGGAAGGAUAUGGCACAAAGGCGCGCGCACUCAAAACUGGAUCGUCUCGUGAGCUACAGUGAGCUACAAAUGGCGCCAGGUUCUUCAGCUUUGAAUGCCUUCCUACAAAUGAUAACUGGAUAAAAGCAUGGGAGACUUGAUUGAAUUCUUGAAACAAAGAGAAGUCUCUGAGGAAAUUAUACAGACCUUGGAGAAUGAGAAGAUUGAUGCCAGUGUCAUAAGUCUAAUGACAGAUGAGGAGCUGAAGACUUAUUUGCCAUCAUAUGGUGAUCGUCUAGCAGUAUUUGGAUUUUGCAGACGGAGGGGCAGCAGCCGCAAGUCAGCGCUUUUUGAACGGCUGAAAUCCAAACUGUCCAAAAGAAAAUUAUCUGAAGAGGAUGG